RNAcentral lists this ribosomal RNA (382 nucleotides) under uncultured eukaryote. Its description in RNAcentral is "partial 18S ribosomal RNA". It matches the Rfam family "Eukaryotic small subunit ribosomal RNA", at positions 592 to 976 of the family's 1831-position model. The record is from RNAcentral.
UGUAAGCGUAUACCAAAGUUGUUGCAGUUAAAACGCUCGUAGUCGGAAUUUGGCAGUUCCGGAUGUGUGCACGUCGUGUGCGCACUUCGCGGGGAUUGCUUUUGUGGUCUUGCGUAGGAUGAGGCACUUUUAUUAGUGAACGUCCUCACGCAACCACUUUUUACUGUGAGAAAAUCAGAGUGCUCAAAGCAGGCAUUUGCCGUGAAUGUAUUAGCAUGGAAUAAUAGAAUAGGACUUGGUUCUAUUUUGUUGGUUUGUUGGGACUGAGUAAUGAUUAAGAGGGACUGUUGGGGGCAUUUGUAUUUCGGUGCUAGAGGUGAAAUUCUUAGAUUACCGAAAGACAAACUGCUGCGAAAGCGUCUGCCAAGGAUGUUUUCAUUGA